GAUGAACGCUGGCGGCGUGCCUAAUACAUGCAAGUCGAGCGAACAGACGAGGGGCUUGCUCCUCUGACGUUAGCGGCGGACGGGUGAGUAACACGUGGAUAACCUACCUAUAAGACUGGGAUAACUUCGGGAAACCGGAGCUAAUACCGGAUAAUAUAUUGAACCGCAUGGUUCAAUAGUGAAAGACGGUUUUGCUGUCACUUAUAGAUGGAUCCGCGCCGCAUUAGCUAGUUGGUAAGGUAACGGCUUACCAAGGCAACGAUGCGUAGCCGACCUGAGAGGGUGAUCGGCCGCACUGGAACUGAGACACGGUCCAGACUCCUACGGGAGGCAGCAGUAGGGAAUCUUCCGCAAUGGGCGAAAGCCUGACGGAGCAACGCCGCGUGAGUGAUGAAGGUCUUCGGAUCGUAAAACUCUGUUAUUAGGGAAGAACGAAUGUGUAAGUAACUAUGCACGUCUUGACGGUACCUAAUCAGAAAGCCACGGCUAACUACGUG
RNAcentral lists this ribosomal RNA (497 nucleotides) under uncultured bacterium. RNAcentral describes it as "partial 16S ribosomal RNA". It matches the Rfam family "Bacterial small subunit ribosomal RNA", at positions 28 to 507 of the family's 1533-position model. The record is from RNAcentral.